Molecule: non-coding RNA, 90 nt
Filed under: Actibacterium atlanticum
Lineage: Bacteria; Pseudomonadati; Pseudomonadota; Alphaproteobacteria; Rhodobacterales; Roseobacteraceae
Description: Glycine sequence
Rfam family: Glycine riboswitch aptamer
About the family: This family represents the bacterial glycine riboswitch. Glycine riboswitches usually consist of two metabolite-binding aptamers domains with similar structures in tandem.
Source: Rfam by way of RNAcentral
GGCACCGCGUUGGGAGAAUCUGGCCCAGUGCCGGUGCCGAAGGAGCAACCGCCCCGGUAAACUCUCAGGCCCCAGGACCGGCGCGGCAAA